GACGAACGCUGGCGGCGUGCUUAACACAUGCAAGUCGAACGGAAAGGCCAGUUCUUGCAUUGGCACUCGAGUGGCGAACGGGUGAGUAACACGCGGGUGAUCUGUCUCUCACGCUGAGAUAAGCUUGGGAAACUCGGUCUCAUACUGGGUAUGAACUACCUAUAGGGUGGGGGUUGGAGAGUUUUGUCGGUGCGAGAUGAGCUCGCGGCCUAUCAGCUUGUUGGUGGGGUGAUGGCCUACCAAGGCGUCGACGGGUAGCCGGCCUGAGAGGGUGUACGGCCACAUUGGGACUGAGAUACGGCCCAGACUCCUACGGGAGGCAGCAGUGGGGAAUAUUGCACAAUGGGCGGAAGCCUGAUGCAGCGACGCCGCGUGGGGGAUGACGGCCUUCGGGUUGUAAACUCCUUUCGACAGGGACGAAGCGUAAGUGACGGUACCUGUAUAAGAAGCACCGGCUAACUACGUG
Molecule: ribosomal RNA, 466 nt
Filed under: uncultured bacterium
Lineage: Bacteria
Description: partial 16S ribosomal RNA
Rfam family: Bacterial small subunit ribosomal RNA
Source: RNAcentral